CGUCCUAUUAGCUAGUUGGUGAGGUAAUGGCUCACCAAGGCUACGAUGGGUAGGGGUUCUUAGUGGAAGGUCCCCCACACUGGCACUGAGAUACGGGCCAGACUCCUACGGGAGGCAGCAGUAGGGAAUAUUGGUCAAUGGGCGCAAGCCUGAACCAGCCAUGCCGCGUGCAGGAUGAAGGCUCUCUGAGUUGUAAACUGCCUUUGUACAGGAGCAAAAAAAUCCCUGCGGGGGUUCUUGAGAGUACUGUAAGAAUAAGCACCGGCUAAUUCCGUGCCAGCAGCCGCGGUAAUACGGGAGGUGCAAGCGUUAUCCGGUUUUAUUGGGUUUAAAGGGUGCGUAGGCGGCUUAUUAAGUCAGUUGUGAAAUCCUAGUGCUUAACGCUAGAACUGCGAUUGAUACUAUU
Molecule: ribosomal RNA, 406 nt
Filed under: Cardinium endosymbiont of Bemisia tabaci
Lineage: Bacteria; Pseudomonadati; Bacteroidota; Cytophagia; Cytophagales; Amoebophilaceae
Description: bacterial SSU rRNA
Rfam family: Bacterial small subunit ribosomal RNA
Source: RNAcentral